This 606-nucleotide ribosomal RNA is filed under the name Triticum aestivum (bread wheat). RNAcentral describes it as "partial small subunit ribosomal RNA". The record is from RNAcentral. Lineage: Eukaryota; Viridiplantae; Streptophyta; Magnoliopsida; Poales; Poaceae.
AUGGAAAAGCGACACCAAAACUUGGGAGGAGCGGAAAAGAGGCUUUGCUAUUGGUUGAAUCUACUAUGCACACCUGCAAGUGGAGAGCGGUAUUAUAUGAGAAUGCUUCUAAACACAAAGAAAGGAUGCACAUCAUUUGAGGAUAUUAGAACAGUUAAUGGAGUUGUUCACCCAACAUACAAAUCAGCAUGCCAGACGCUUGGUUUUCUUGAUGAUGAUAGUGAGUGGAUUGAAUGCAUCAAUGAAGCAUCAACAUGGGGAUCCGGGACACAAUUACGACAGCUAUUCAGCACAAUUUUAUGCCAUUGUGAGGUUACCAGCCCAAAGAUGUUGUGGGAUUCAACAUGGGAGGCACUAUCUGAAGAUAUCCAGUACAAAAGAAGAAUUAUCCUAAACUUUCCUAUGCUGCAGCUCACUGAUUCACAAAAAAAAGCAUAUGCUCUGAUCGAGAUAGAGAAACUAAUGAGGCAAGCAGGAAAGACACUAAAGGACUAUCCAGACAUAGAACUACCAAAUGCUACAGAACUUGAACAACUUGGGAACAGAAUGAUAAAUGAAGAACUUAGCUACGACAUGGAAACACUAAAGGUGAGCACAAAACCAUAA